UACGAAGGGGGCUAGCGUUGUUCGGAAUUACUGGGCGUAAAGCGUGUGCAGGCGGAUCGCUAAGUCAGGGGUGAAAUCCCGAGGCUCAACCUCGGAACUGCCUUUGAUACUGGGAGUCUUGGAGUCCGGGAGAGGUGAGUGGAACUGCGAGUGUAGAGGUGAAAUUCGUAGAUAUUCGCAAGAACACCAGUGGCGAAGGCGGCUCACUGGCCCGGUACUGACGCUGAGGUGCGAAAGCGUGGGGAGCAAACAGG
RNAcentral lists this ribosomal RNA (254 nucleotides) under uncultured bacterium. RNAcentral's name for it is "partial 16S ribosomal RNA". It matches the Rfam family "Bacterial small subunit ribosomal RNA", at positions 524 to 776 of the family's 1533-position model. The record is from RNAcentral.